UAAGCUUGCUGCUUCGCUGACGAGUGGCCGACGGGUGAGUAAUGUCUGGGAAACUGCCUGAUGGAGGGGGAUAACUACUGGAAACGGUAGCUAAUACCGCAUAACGUCGCAAGACCAAAGAGGGGGACCUUCGGGCCUCUUGCCCUCGGAUGUGCCCAGAUGGGAUUAGCUAGUAGGUGGGGUAACGGCUCACCUAGGCGACUAUCCCUAGCUGGUCUGAUAGGAUGACCAGCCACACUGGAACUGAGACACGGUCCAGACUCCUACGGGAGGCAGCCGUGGGGAAUAUUGCACAAUGGGCGCAAGCCUGAUGCAGCCAUGCCGCGUGUAUGAAGAAGGCCUUCGGGUUGUAAAUUACUUUCAGCGGGGAGGAAGGGAGUAAAGUUAAUAUCUUUGCUCAUUGACGUUACCCGCAAAAGAAGCACCGGCCAACUCCGUGCCAGCAGCCUCGGUAAUACCGAGGGUGCACGCUUUAAUUGGAAUUACUGGGCGUAAACUCCACCCGUGUGGUUUGCCCAUUCAAAUAUGAAAUCCCCUGGCUCAACCCUGG
RNAcentral lists this ribosomal RNA (550 nucleotides) under Shigella sp. RI31. RNAcentral describes it as "bacterial SSU rRNA". It matches the Rfam family "Bacterial small subunit ribosomal RNA", at positions 70 to 618 of the family's 1533-position model. The record is from RNAcentral. Lineage: Bacteria; Pseudomonadati; Pseudomonadota; Gammaproteobacteria; Enterobacterales; Enterobacteriaceae.